CCUACGGGAGGCAGCAGUGAGGAAUAUUGGUCAAUGGUCGGGAGACUGAACCAGCCAAGCCGCGUGCAGGAGGACGGUACAGUGGAUUGUAAACUGCUUUUGUGAGGGGACAAAAAGCGGCACGCGUGCCCGGCUGAAGGUACCGCAAGAAAAAGCAUCGGCUAACUCCGUGCCAGCAGCCGCGGUAAUACGGAAGGUACGGGCGUUAACCGGAUUUAAUGGGUUUAAAGGGUGCGUAGGCCGCGUGGUAAGUGUGCCGUUAAAUGCCGGGGCUCAACCCCGGCCCCGCCGGUGAAACUGGCUGUCUUGAGUGGGCGAGACGUAUGCGGAAUGCGUGGUGGAGCGGUGAAAUGCUUAGAUAUCGCGCAGAACUCCGAUUGCGAAGGCAGCAUACCGCCGCCCUACUGACGCUGAGGCACGAAGGCGUGGGUAUCGAACAGGAUUAGAUACCCUUGUAGUC
RNAcentral lists this ribosomal RNA (460 nucleotides) under uncultured bacterium. RNAcentral describes it as "partial 16S ribosomal RNA". It matches the Rfam family "Bacterial small subunit ribosomal RNA", at positions 338 to 795 of the family's 1533-position model. The record is from RNAcentral.